RNAcentral lists this long non-coding RNA (2030 nucleotides) under Gallus gallus (chicken). The record is from RNAcentral. Lineage: Eukaryota; Metazoa; Chordata; Aves; Galliformes; Phasianidae.
GUUUCCCAGAGCUGCCUCUAUAACACGAUAGGAAACAAAACUGUGGUUUUGACUCGUUGCUUGUUUAAAGAUUUGUUAACCAAGUCACAGCUGCACAGACAAAUACUUUUUCUGACUUCCACCUCUGUAAGGACAGAAGGCUUCUUGGGAUUCAAUCUAAAGGCAAAAGAGCAACACGAGACCGUGAUUCAAGGACAAGAUGAAGGGAUGUAUGACGCCAGGACAAAGACUGUGACUACUCUGGCACAGCAGUAGCAAACUUUGACAGUGAUCCAGGAAGUUGAACAAUUACUUAAGGUGAAGCAUAUCACUGGUGCAGCUAUCAACGGAGCCAUCCACAUUUUUUCAACAACAAAAAAUAUGAAGCCAUUUCCAGUCAGUUCCCUCCUGUCCUGCAUUUGUGGCCCAGUCUUUCCUCUGUUUAAGUCAAUCAGGACGUAUUCAUUGACUUAAACUGGAGCAGAUGAAGUUCUUCAACUUGCACAGGCUAAGAAGCCGGAGAGCUGAAUGUUUUCUACGAGCCAAGAGGAUUCAGUUGCAUCCCAUUUACAGGAUGAAUAGGAUUCAGUUUCAUCCGAAAGGAGCCUGGGUCAUCCAGACCGCACAGCAGUGAGAACAAAAGCACAGAAAAUGGGAACCAUUGGGAGACUGGCCUCUAAAGCACCUACAACCCUGACUACAUCUGUGAUGGCGACAAGCUCCCAGUGGGUCACAAUAAAUACCCAGUGGCAAUGGAGACAAGUGGGUGGAGUAUAAGAGUGCCUGGAGUUAACAUAAUGAAACUGAAUCCUUUUCUUGAACAAGAAGUGAAAUAAACUUUAAAUCAAAGUCUCCAUUAAGGCCCCUUCUGCAAGAUGCUACUUUCAGUUUCUGAUAAUCAUUAUAAAUGGAGCAGAUUGGAAAAACUCAAAUGGAUCCAAUAUGAAAAGCCUCGCUGCCUCCAGUCACUGCAGGGGGAGAGGAAUGCAGCCCCACUUACCUCCAAACUCAUUUUGGUCUUCCUACACCCCGACAGUAAAAUACAUGUGGAAAACCAGAAAUGCUGUGAGGUGAUGACAAUUACCUGAAGAUAUGAAGAUGAGCAGUGAACAGACCAGAGAAGAGAAGUCAGGUGUGGAUGGCCAGGCCACACCAUACUUCUGUACUCAUUAAGAAAAUAAAUAAACUCUUAGUUGGAUACAUUAAAAAAGAGUUGGUGGUUUCCAGCUGCAACUCACUUUAGUUCUUUAAAAUUAUCCUUGCGUUUCUGUUUAAGAAUUUACCUUGAGGAGGGAUGGGAAUCUGCUGCAUGCUACCAUCUGUCUUUCCUUAGAAAUACAGCACAAUAAAAGUGAGAUUGUCUUGUCUCUUUUAUAAGGUUAGUAAGAAAGCUUUGAUUGCUUCUUCUCUUAUUCACUAGAAAUUUAUAGUAAGAUGUUAUAUUUUCCUUUUGUCUGUUUGCCACAACAUCUGAGCUGUGUGUGAAAGACUGUGCCCUGUGGAUGAGAAGGUGCUUCACAGAGAGCAGCUUCAGUGAGCCAACUUAUUCACCAUGGUUCAAAGAUGGAAACUCCCCUCCAUUCUCAGAAUUUUGGUGCUUUUUGUUAUAUUCUGGGAUACUGUUGUGGUUAUAGCUUACUUCUGCCCCUUCUCCUGAAAUGCCCAAAUUUCUGUGAUGUGAGUUUUGUUCUACUUUUAGGAUGCCAAGUGGAAGAUUAUUCUAUUUCACUUUUGAGUCCUUUCCUGUUAUUACCUCAAACAUCGACAACAAAUUUUUCAGCCUUUCCCUUUUCUGAAGCAGUGGUGACAAAGUUCCUCUUUCUUUCCCCUUCUUCUUUUUCUUUUAAAACACAAAGAAACAAAACAUUCUCCAGAUGUUUUGUGAUCUAAUCCCUUAUUAACUUUGGAAAGAUCCUUUCUACCACAGGGAUCAGAUUCAUUAAUCUAUGGCUUCCUGACUCCUCUCCUACAGUAUUUCCAGGAAUGCAGAUACCUAUUUUGGCAUGGAAUCUGUAUUCCAUGAGCACAAACCUUCAAAUAUAUCUAUUUAC